This is a small nuclear RNA of Tupaia belangeri (northern tree shrew), 100 nucleotides long. The record is from Ensembl. Lineage: Eukaryota; Metazoa; Chordata; Mammalia; Scandentia; Tupaiidae.
GUACUUGCUUCGGCAGCACAUAUACUAACAUUGAAACGAGACAGAAAAGAUUAUCAUGGCCCCUGCGCAAGGAUGACACACAAAUUGGUGUCAUUUUUUU